GGGAAGUACGCCUCGCUUUCAAGGCAAAUAGCCUGUUUUGGAUGUAAAAACAUAACUUGUGUAUAAGAGUCGGGCAUUGCUUUUCUUUCAGGACAACAUAAGUAUUUUGUAAUGGAUUGCCUGUGUUACCUCAAGCAUGUAUCAAGGGCCUGGGCUUUCACGGAGGGACACUGAGACAUCGAUGUACUUGUGUCGCUGAUUGAUAACAACGUGUAACACAUUGAAUACAUACAUGUGAGAGGACCUGUGAAGAUCUGACACCCACCAGGCUGUGAUACAAGCAUAUACUCUACAUACACGAUUUAUGGCAGCAGAGAGCAAUAUACAAGCUCAUAGUCAUUCCCCUGUAUGUGGAUG
Molecule: long non-coding RNA, 357 nt
Organism: Cyprinus carpio carpio
Lineage: Eukaryota; Metazoa; Chordata; Actinopteri; Cypriniformes; Cyprinidae
Source: Ensembl